UACGUAGGGUCCGAGCGUUGUCCGGAAUUACUGGGCGUAAAGAGCUCGUAGGUGGUUUGUCGCGUUGUUCGUGAAAACUCACAGCUCAACUGUGGGCGUGCGGGCGAUACGGGCAGACUGGAGUACUGCAGGGGAGACUGGAAUUCCUGGUGUAGCGGUGGAAUGCGCAGAUAUCAGGAGGAACACCGGUGGCGAAGGCGGCUACCUGGACAGAAACUGACGCUGAGGCGCGAAAGCUAGGGGAGCGAACGGG
Molecule: ribosomal RNA, 253 nt
Filed under: uncultured bacterium
Lineage: Bacteria
Description: partial 16S ribosomal RNA
Rfam family: Bacterial small subunit ribosomal RNA
Source: RNAcentral